RNAcentral lists this long non-coding RNA (1613 nucleotides) under Manihot esculenta (cassava). Its description in RNAcentral is "long non-coding RNA (MESC_LNC003129)". The record is from RNAcentral. Lineage: Eukaryota; Viridiplantae; Streptophyta; Magnoliopsida; Malpighiales; Euphorbiaceae.
UGUUGUUAUAGUUAAGCAAAUUAGAAAGAUUUUCUUCUUUCUUUUUCAAGUUUCAUUUAAAAAAAAAAAACUUAUAACUGGAAAGGAGAUUGAUUUUGUGCAAAAAACAUUAAAUCUGAAGAAUUAUAUAUUUAUAUGCAAUUGAAGAUAUUAAUUGAUUCUCAAUUUACAAUAGUUAUAAAAGCAAUAUAAAAGCAUAUUCAAUAAGGAAGUAUCGUCUCGAAACAGUGCACACCGUCCAACUCAGGUGCAAAUCUCGGCUUUCUCUGCUGCUUCAAUGACUCCUUUACGUUCUCCGAUGAAGGUGAACUUUUCUUUUCCAUCCCUUUCUUCUUCAUUGACUCGACAGCUGUAGCCUUGCUUCUUUCAUUGCGAGUAGAGGAAACCCCCGAGAACUUCACUUUUUGCUCGUAGAAUUCCUUGCAGAAGGCAUCGAAAGAGCUGAACAUCGACAUCAUCAUCGCGAUCGUUUAUCAGAAACCAACUGAUUGAGAUUAGCAGAAAUUAGGAUGAACGAUUGGAAAUUGAGGAUGGUAAAUUAUGAGAUUUAGGAGAGUUUGAGUUUGGAAAACAAAGAUCAAAUUGAGACGAUUAAUUUCCGUUGAGAGAAGAGGUAUUUAAAGGGAAACCUUUUUUCUUUUUUGACAAGAAAGAACCUAAAUUCUUAUAAAACUGGUAGCAUCUGGAAAGACGCGUUGGCAGUCUUCGUGGACGGGCGGCGUGGAAGUUAGACUUUGAUUGGACCUACGAAAUAUUCCGAUUUGGCGGGACAAGUGGGUUACGUGGAUGGCUGAGAUUAAACUUGAGUUUAUUUAAUUUUGUUUUUGCAUUUUCUGUUAUGUGAGAACAUGAACGAAGCAAAUGGAUAGAGGUGGCGUGGAGGGUACGGGUCGCGUCGCGUAUUUUCUGGAGUGAGCUGGAAUUAUUGAAAGGAAGGAAUGAAACAUACAAAACCAUAAAACCCUUAGAACAAAAUUGGAGCUUCGAAUAAAAUACCAACCGAAGGAAGUCUGGUAGAACUUAGCCAAAAAUAGCCCAAGGGAGCGAUGAUACUACCAGAUGUAUCGGUGCAACCCUAAGACGAACGACGAGAAGCAAUCAGAAGCCUUCUCCCAACUGGCUAAAGAACAAAAGCAAAACCCCUCUCAGUAAGGUCCCCUUAAAGAACUUCCUCCAAAUAUAGUAUGGGAGACCUCAAAACAAGGAUGACCAAAGAAAACAGACCCAAGAAAACACCCUCAUUCAAAGUGAGAACCAAAAGAAAAGUGACUCAAAAAACAACAAAGCAAGAAAGAAAAUCUCUAAUCAACAAAAGAAACUCUCCACACUAACAUGCACGAUUCGAAGAAAACCACCUGUAUAACCGGAAACGGAAAGGGACCGAAGGAAAAGUGCCUCUUCCGAGUAAAAGACGACAAAGGAACCCCAAUACAACUAUCAAGGAAGAAGGCCAACAACCUUUCACCUUCCUUACCGCUUCCGCUCCCUUUCUCCUCUUCUCUCUUCUAGAAGGUAUAGGAUGAAAUUAUUUGGUUAGGAUGAAAUUAACUUGCCCUUCUUUAAUUAUUAAUUUAUUAUUAUAAACUGUUUAAUUACCCUAAAUUCUAUCGACU